GAUUGUUCACAGUCAGUUACAGAUUGACCUCCUUGUUCUACUCUUUUCCCCCUUCUCACUACUGUACUUGACUAGUCUAAA
This 81-nucleotide small RNA is filed under the name Otolemur garnettii (small-eared galago). Its description in RNAcentral is "Y RNA (ENSOGAG00000032093.1)". It matches the Rfam family "Y RNA", at positions 19 to 96 of the family's 96-position model. From Rfam's summary of the family: Y RNAs are components of the Ro ribonucleoprotein particle (Ro RNP), in association with Ro60 and La proteins. Lineage: Eukaryota; Metazoa; Chordata; Mammalia; Primates; Galagidae. The record is from RNAcentral.